This 604-nucleotide ribosomal RNA is filed under the name Microbacterium sp. CMT30. RNAcentral describes it as "bacterial SSU rRNA". It matches the Rfam family "Bacterial small subunit ribosomal RNA", at positions 271 to 885 of the family's 1533-position model. The record is from RNAcentral. Lineage: Bacteria; Bacillati; Actinomycetota; Actinomycetes; Micrococcales; Microbacteriaceae.
AGGCGUCGACGGGUAGCCGGCCUGAGAGGGUGACCGGCCACACUGGGACUGAGACACGGCCCAGAMUCCUACGGGAGGCAGCAGUGGGGAAUAUUGCACAAUGGGCGGAAGCCUGAUGCAGCAACGCCGCGUGAGGGAUGACGGCCUUCGGGUUGUAAACCUCUUUUAGCAGGGAAGAAGCGAGAGUGACGGUACCUGCAGAAAAAGCGCCGGCUAACUACGUGCCAGCAGCCGCGGUAAUACGUAGGGCGCAAGCGUUAUCCGGAAUUAUUGGGCGUAAAGAGCUCGUAGGCGGUUUGUCGCGUCUGCUGUGAAAUCCCGAGGCUCAACCUCGGGCCUGCAGUGGGUACGGGCAGACUAGAGUGCGGUAGGGGAGAUUGGAAUUCCUGGUGUAGCGGUGGAAUGCGCAGAUAUCAGGAGGAACACCGAUGGCGAAGGCAGAUCUCUGGGCCGUAACUGACGCUGAGGAGCGAAAGGGUGGGGAGCAAACAGGCUUAGAUACCCUGGUAGUCCACCCCGUAAACGUUGGGAACUAGUUGUGGGGACCAUUCCACGGUUUCCGUGACGCAGCUAACGCAUUAAGUUCCCCGCCUGGGGAGUACGG